This 193-nucleotide microRNA precursor is filed under the name Oryza barthii. RNAcentral describes it as "MIR812 microRNA precursor family". It matches the Rfam family "MIR812 microRNA precursor family". Lineage: Eukaryota; Viridiplantae; Streptophyta; Magnoliopsida; Poales; Poaceae. The record is from Rfam by way of RNAcentral.
UCUAGUUAUCAUGCCCAACGUUUGACCGUCCGUCUUAUUUGAAAAAAAUAUGAAAAAAAUUAAAAAGACAAGUCACGCAUAAAAUAUUAAUCAUAUUUUAUCAUCUAACAACAACGAAAAUACGAAUUAUAAAAAAAUUUCAUAUGAGACGGACAGUCAAAGUUGGACACGGAAACCCAAGGUUUGUCUUUUU